AUUUUCCUUUUAUUUGUAGUGUAUCUUUUCUUUGUAUCCCCUUUUAGUAUUUUAAAAAUUACCUAUCAGAUAAUUUUGAAUCACUGAAACCUUUACAAUAGAUUUCUGAUGGUUUGAAAUUGAUGUGUAGCACAUGCCUGAUUAAAGCUAUAUAGAACCUCAGUGGCUAAAGAUUAAGGAUGCCUUAACUAAGGGUCGCUUCUUGCUGGUACCAAGCAAGGCCAGUGCAGGAGCAACUAAUCCUCUCCCAUAGAGCCAAGAUUGUUCAAGUGCCUACAGUCUACCAGGCUGCCAUUCUGGACCCUUCAUUGUCCUGGUCCUCCAAUUGAUCAGGAGAGUAGACUUGGGCUGCAUAAUGCAUUUGCUAAAAAAUGGUGAUUAGUGGAAGCUUUAGUUUUUCGCUUCAGG
Molecule: long non-coding RNA, 408 nt
Organism: Panicum virgatum (switchgrass)
Lineage: Eukaryota; Viridiplantae; Streptophyta; Magnoliopsida; Poales; Poaceae
Exons: 4
Source: RefSeq, a predicted model, not a curated record